GGUUAUCAUGGUCAUUAUGACAAUGGUUACUCCCCAGCCAGUCCUUUAUGCUUCCUUAUGUUUUCUGAUUUUUCUAGCCCACACCACCAUCAUGGAGAAGUGAGCAAGGGAUGUUUGACCAAGUCACAAGGACAGAAGAAGCUAGCUAUUUAAGGUUUGGCAGGAUGCUAUGAAUACUAACCUAAUAUUCCAACUUAGUAUCAGCAGAAACCUCCUGUAGCUGCCAAGACAUGUUCAAACCUGACCUGAUUAAACAAGACAUUUUAAGAUGCAUGUGAAAAAACAGUACAGUUCUGGAUGCAUAAGAAUGCAGAUGCCCUCACCUCUGCGCAGUCAUGGAGACCAUGCCGGUCCUGCAGAGAGAAUGAAGCUACCAAAGAGAACACAGAUACAGGACACUCAAGUUAAACAAAACCACAGCGGCAUGAAGUCCUUCUCAUUAGAAAGUCAAACAGACAUCCAGAAAGCUGCAAAGCAAAUUGGAGAGAUGCCAGGACUUCAAUAGAAAUCACAGAUGAGGAUUUCAUACUUCAUGACUUUUCUUUAAGCAGGUGCAAAAGCAGAAAGCUGAAGAACUGUCUGCGAUGAGCACUAAGAGUCCUGAAAUAGAAUGGGACUCAUAGAAGGACAAGAACAACAUAGACCACCCAGAGGAGGAUCCAGAAGGAAUACAUAUUAUUCUCAGCAACACUGCCUAGACUUAUCAUCAGUUCUUUAGUGAGGAAGAACAAGAAACCAAUAGCAGACACACCUUAAAAUCUUUACUAUAAAGAUCUCAUGAUAGUAUGUAUUUAGUCAUUCUUUAAAAAAAAAAAAGAGAGAAAAAAAUCUUUGUAAGUGCCAGACAUUGGAGACAUAUGGUUAACAAGACAAAUACAGACCCUGGCCACAUGGGGUUUAUGAUCCAAUAGGAGAGACUGGCAUUAAACAAGCAAUCACACAAAUGUCAUUGCAAGUUUUGGUAAGUGCUCCAAAGAAAUACAAAGUAUCGGGGUGGAGGGGUGGGGCAGACAACUUCCUGAGAGAGCAACAGUAGGGCCAUGCCCUGAAUGAUAAGAAGGCAUUACUGGGAGAGAACUGCAGCAGAUGGUGCCAGGAAAUAACAUGCUUAAGGGUUCUGGGAGGGAAAAUGAGGCGUGUGGCCCAAGAACUGGGGUGCCUGUGCUAGGAAUAUCCUCAGUGGGAUGGAGAGUCUGCGUGGGGCAGGGCCAGACCCUCAGACCAUGUGGGCCAUGUUAGCAUCUUUGUUUUUUUCCAAAUAUAGGGCAAGUCACUGAAAGACUAGGCACACACAAUUGACGUUGACAUAUUCAUAUUUGUGUUUUUAAUGGAUCAUUCCAGUUGCACUGUGGAAAACAAGUUUGAGGGACUAGAAGGGAAAAGGAAGUCCAUUUGGAAGGCUUUUGGCCUGGCCACUAGAGUCAAGGCUCUGGUGAGCACAACCAGAUAACGGAGGACCCUUUGCUGUGUGGAGUCCUAAAAGGCCCACAUCUCUCCAGGUAUGCUGCAGAGUGGCUCACAAAUUCUAGGAGUCCAUAUGAGGUAGAGCUGCUCAAGCGGCAAAGCUUUCAUUUGGAUUAAAUUUAGUUGAAUGAAAAGGAGUCAGGAGUAACAUUUAGUCAUAUAGAAGUUUGUGAAAAGAAUGGGUUUGACCCACUGAAGUAAGCAACUGGGAAUGUGGGCAGGGACAUGAUUGUGCCCGCGUGCCAGAGUUUAAAGACGUCCCCUGGGUGCGGGACGAUUGAACCAUGCAUAGAUAGAGCAGUUAGGUGAAGAUCAAAUUACCGUACAGCCUUCUAUCAAAAGCAAAGUUGGAGAAUUUGGUUUAGGUCUGUGGACAAAGUGUUGCAAAUAUUUCAGCCCUGAAUUCAACCUGCCCCGAUGGAUCUUAGUAAGCCCUGCGAUUGGAGGAGGUGGUGCAGGAUGGAACCUGUUUGGGAGCUUUUUGCCUUUGUGGGAUCCUUCCUCCCUUAAAUAGCAAAAAUUGUGUUUUACAACUGCAUUGGUACAAAAAUAAAAUCCAGCCUCAUUUAUAUUCA
This is a long non-coding RNA of Vulpes vulpes (red fox), 2039 nucleotides long. The record is from Ensembl. Lineage: Eukaryota; Metazoa; Chordata; Mammalia; Carnivora; Canidae.